Salvia splendens (bonfire salvia) is the source of this 5335-nucleotide long non-coding RNA. RefSeq lists it as uncharacterized. NCBI's taxonomy places the organism in Eukaryota, Viridiplantae, Streptophyta, Magnoliopsida, Lamiales, Lamiaceae. The transcript has 20 exons. The record is from RefSeq and is a predicted model, not a curated record.
UUUUAAAUGGCAGGACUAUACCAUGGAGCCUGAUGAGAAACUUAUACUAAAUGCAGCACAUUUGAUGGUAGCAUUAAGAGGCCCUUGCAUCACAUUUAGGAACCUUUACUUGGUUUAGUAUCAAGCGAGCUCAGAAGGUCACUUCAGGGCUUGGCCGUAGCAAGUGAUUUUCUAGAGCAGUCAUUUCAGCUGGUAACUAAUGAUAAUAUCCUUUGCAUCAAUGGCUUGAUUUCCAUAAUAACCAUUAAGAUAAAAGAGGAAACACAAACAGAGUUGACACUGAUGAAUGGAAUCCAUCCACUGAUACACAUUUCCUCGAUUGAUAACCGCUCUGGAAAUGUUGUGAUACACCCAAAAUUUUAAAUAUUAAUCCAGCAGUUGUGUUAGUCUACGACAGUUUGAUCAACUAUCGCGGGACCAAAUUUUCUAUAGAUUGCAAACUUGAGUUUGCUCGCACUGCUUGCUCAUCUAAAUUCUGCUGCUGUGCUGCGCUAUAAGCAGAACUUGGUCCUUUUUUGAGAUUGCUACUUCAGUGUUGAUCAAGUUUCAGAGAUGUCCACUGUUCUUCAGCAGUGAGAUGUUAUAACUCGUAGGAUUUUUCCGCUAGUACACUUUGAGCUCACACAUAUUUAGGGACUAACCCCGGAGUUGUCUAGGUUCUCGCUUCCAGUAUAGGGGUGUGAUCCUGGUGCCCCCCCUUACUUGCUUUCUACGCAAACCAGUGAGUAUUAUAUCUCCCUUUACAUUUUCUUGUCAUGAGGUUAAUGUUUAGAAUAGUUUUGAGGUGUGGGUGUUUUGCGCGCAUUUUUCUUUUUGUGCUUGUAAUUUAUCCUUAUUGUGCGUGCAUGCAUGGUUUUCUCUCUAUUGAUUAUCACCUGACACUUUUUAUGGGUAAUUAGUAUAGAGUUAGUUUCUCUCAAGGGUUGCUUACUAACUUCUGGAGAACUAAGAUUCCCUAAUUUAAAACACCUAAUUUUUUUAAUAUUUUAACGAUAUGUGAAAAAGAAUUUGUGCUGCUGUUGUACAAGACCAAGUGAAUUUCUUAAAUUAUUUUAAUGAUAUGUGUAAAUGAAAUUGUGUUGCUACUUAUUACAGCAUUAAUACUAGCAGAUAGCUGAUAAAAUUUUUAGUAAAUUCUUGUGUUAAUUUAGUCCAUUGUGUAUGGGUUUGGAAUUAAUAUUGUUUCUACUUUGUCCUUGGUGCAUUUUAACCUUGUUUACAUGCAGUCCAAACCAUUUAUGGGAAAAUUGUUCAACUACUUUCUGUUAGCAGAAAGCACAGAGACAGUGUUGUGCCACUUUUUAUUAUGCUAGCCUUUAUGGUCCUCAAACUCCUGUAAACAACAUCAUUCCUUCAUUCCCUCCCGCUUUGGCUAGCUACUGAUGGAACCUUCUAGUUAUGCAAAGAACCUGGAAAUGCUGCACAUCCUACUAAUGCAAUUCUGUCUUUCGAGCAUCCUGGGACAAACCUUGAUAUUAGAAUGAGUUAUUUUGAUGAUACAAUCUCAUUUCUAUAUGUUUAAACAUAUGUGUGCCUGCUUUAGAUUAUGAAGCACAAGUCCGAAUAGCAGCUGCCGAAAAGGAGUUAAGGAGGAGCUAACUUGUAAAGGAGGCAAGAUGAGAGAAGAAAUGCCUAACCCCCAUCACCUAUUUCCCACGCAAACAAGGGAUUAUUUUGUUUCCCCUCACAUCCUGUCCUUCACAUAAAGGGCAAUGUUAAGAUUAAGAUAUAGGGCGAGUUUGUUUGUGUGCAUGCUUGAUUAUGUGGUUGUAAAUAAUUUGAUUACUUUCACUCUGAUUCGUUGAUUCUGAAGGGUCCUUUCAGUAGUGUUUGUAACAAUGCGAAAAUACUAACGAAAUGUGUUUUUAAAUGGCAGGGCUAUGCCACGGAGCCUGAUGAGAAACUUAUACGAAACGCAACACAUUUGAUGGUAGCAAGGUUGACAGGAAGUGUUGCUAAUUAACUUGUAGGAACCUUUACGUGGUUCUAUAUCAAGCCAACUCAGAAUGUCACUUCAGGGGCUUGGCUAUGCUAGUCGUCUUCUAGAGCUGUCAUUUCAGCAGGAAUCACAAACGGAGUUGACACCGAUGAAUGGAAUCCAUCCAUUGAUACACAACUUCCUCGAUUGAUAACCGCUCUGGAAAUGUUGUGGUUGAGUGUAAGGCUGCGUAGCAAGGAGAACUCAGUCCCGUGUUGAGAGUGCUACUUCAGUGUUGAUAAGUUAUAGAGAUGUCCUCUGAUCUUCAAAAGUGAGGUGUUAUAGCUGUAACCACUACUCGUAGGAUUUUUAUGCUAGUACACUUUGAGCACAAACUUUUGCAGGAACUAACCCAGAGUUGUCCUAGUUCUCACUUCCGGUAUAGGGGUGUGAUCCGGCAUCACCCCUUACUUGCUUUCUACUCAAACAAUUUGCUCAUUUUCUAGGCAAGAAUCGAUCCAUCCAGAGCUCAAAUGCAUUUCCAGAUUGCCCCUCCGCUUCAUUAGUAGGUGGACUUUCCUGGAAAUUUGCAUCUCUACUUCUGACUGAAUGAGUGUUAGCACUGGAAUUGGUGCUAUUCCCCACACACUUGAAAUUUGCUCUGACGAGAUGGAUCCUGUUGAAUCCCAGAUUCCUACAAGUUCCUUCAUCUCGCAUUGUAAUUAGCGAUGGUCCACAAACUCUUGAAGAUGACAUAAUUCCUUCAUUCCUUCUUGAUUGGGCCAGCUACUAAUGGAACCUUCCAGUUACACAAAAGAACCUGGAAAUGCUACACAUCCACUAAUGCAAUUGUCUUGCGAGCAUCCCGAGACAAAUGUCUCUGAGCCAUUUAUAACCUUUGGUGAUGCAUUGCGUAUGUACCAUACUAUCUCAUAGAAGGAUAAUAUUUCUGAUGAUGACUAUAUAAUUUCAUAAGCUGGGAUCGGUCUAGAAGUGGGAAUGAUGUCAAUCCUACAUGAUAAUGAAGCACAAGCAUGAAUAGCUCUGCCGAAAAAGGUCACUAAUUCUGUUGGAUUCCUUGUCUGGAACUUGCUGUCCAACUUAUUAGGAGUUAAGGAGGAGCUAACUUGUAAAGGAGGCAAGAUGAGAGAAGAAAUGCCUAACCCCCAUCACCUAACUUCCCAUGCAAACAAGGGAGUAUUUUGUUUCCCCUCACAUUUUUUUUUCCUUCACUUAAAAGGGCAAUGUUAAGUUAAGAUUUGGGGUGAGGGUGUUUGUGUGCAUGCUUGAUUAUGUGGUUGUAAAUAAUUUGAUUACUCUAUCUCCGAUGUGUUGAUUCUGAAGGACCCUUUUUUCAAUAGUGUAUAUAACAAUGCGAAUACUAAAGAAGUUAUGUGUUUUUAAAUGGCAGGACAUGCCAUGGAGCCGGAUGAGAAACUUAUGCGAAAUGCAGCAGAUUUGAUGGUAGCAAGGUUGGUAGGAAGUCUUGCUAAUGUAACUUAUUAGGAACCUUUACGUGGUCCAGUAUCAAACCAACUCAGAAGGUCACUUCAGGUCUUGGCCAUAGCAAAUGAUCUUCUAGAGCAGUCAUUUUAGCUGGUGACUAAUGGAAUCACAGGCGGCGAUGACACCAAUGAAUGGAAUCCAUCCAUUGACACACAUCUUCCUCGAUUGAUAGCCGCUCUGGAAAUGUUGUGAUACACACAAAGUUUUAAAUAUUAUUCCAUCAUUUGUAUUUGUCUAUGACAGUUAGAUCAGCUAUCGAGGGACCAAAUUUGCUUUUGAUUGCAAACUUGAGUUUGCUCAUACUGCUCAUCUAACUUUUGCUGUUGUUCAUUGCAGGUUGAGUGCAAGGCUGAGCUGCAAGCAGAACUCGGUCCUUUGUUGAGAGCACUAUUUCAGUAUUGAAUGAGAUUUACUUAUUAAAGCAAUAAUACCCGCAAAUAGCUGAGAAAAAUUUCGUCCAAACCAUUUAAUGGGGAAAUAGAUCGAUUACUUUCAAACGGGAGCCCUUUAUCCAGAGCCAGGGCAUGUGUCACAUUCACAACGAGUUUAUGAGAAUCGAUCAACCCAGAGCUCAAAUGCAUUUCCAGUUUGCCCAUCGGCUUCAUCAGGAGGUGGAUUAUCCAGGCAAUUUGCAUCUCUACUUCUGACCAAAUGAGUGCUAGCAUUUACUCAUCUGGCCUUGUUAGCACUGGAAUUGGUGCUAUACCCCAUACACCGGAAAUCGACUCUGACGAGAUAGAACCAGUUGGAUCCCAGAAUCCUACAAGGUUUGUUUAGUUUAUGGCAUCUUUUGAUUUUUAUAUUAUUGAUUAAAUGUUAAUUAUUAAUUGUUGUUUUUCUAUGAGUAAACCUCCGACCAACAAAAACUAAAAGGAAUCAAAUUAGCAAAAUUCUGGUGAUCAUUUUUCAGUUCGCUCAUCUCGUAUUUCAAUUGGCAAUGGUCCACAAACUCUUGUAAACGACAUCAUUCCUUCAUUCCCUCCUGCUUUAGCUAGCUACUGAUGGAACCUUCCAGUUAUGCAAAAGAACCUGGAAAUGCUGCACAUCCUACUAAUGCAAUUCUGUCUUCCGAGCAUCUUGGGACAAACCUUGAUAUUAGAAUGAGUUAUUUUGAUGAUACAAUCUCAUUUUUAUAUGUUUAGACGUAUGUGUGCCGGCUUUAGAUUAUGAAGCACAAGUCCGAAUAGCAGCUGCCGAAAAGGUUACAAACUCAGCUGGAUUCUUAAUCUGGAAUUUGUUGUCCAACAUAUUAGGUUGUAUUUAAGUUGAUACUUUUGAAUAUGCAAUUUAUGUAUUUGUUACAUAUGUUGCGCUUCAUUUCUUUAUUUUUAUUCACCAGCUGAUUUAUAUAAUUGAAUUUGUUUGUUUCUGUUUGUUUUGUAGUAGUUAAGGAGGAGCUACUAACUUCUAAAGGAAGUGAGAUGAGAGAAGAAAUACCUAACGCCCAUCACCUAACUUCCCAUGCAAGCAAGGGAGUAUUUUGUUUCCCCUCACAUUUUUUCCCUUCACAUAAAGGGUCAUGUUAAGAUUAAGAUUUGGGGUGAGGGUGUUUGUGUGCAUGCUUGAUUAUGUGUUUGUAAAUAAUUUGAUUACUCUAUCUCUGAUGUGUUGAUUCUGAAGGACCCUUUUUUCCAUAGUGUAUAUAACUAUGCGAAUGCUAAAGAAGUUAUGUGGUUUUAAUUGACAGGUCUAUGCCACAGAGCCUGAUGAGAAACUUAUACGAAAUGCAGCACAUUUGACAGGAAGUCUUGCUAAUGUAACCUGUAGGAGUUAUGGAGGAGCUAACUUUUUAGGAAACAAGAUAAGAAAAGUAGCUAACCCCCACCACCUAAUUUUCUAUGCAGACAAAGGAGUGUUCUAUCUUGCCUCACAUUUUAUCGUCCAUCACAUAAAGGGAAAUGUUUAGAUUCA